Molecule: ribosomal RNA, 253 nt
Filed under: uncultured bacterium
Lineage: Bacteria
Description: partial 16S ribosomal RNA
Rfam family: Bacterial small subunit ribosomal RNA
Source: RNAcentral
UACGUAGGCAGCAAGCGUUGUUCGGAAUUACUGGGCGUAAAGAGUGUGUAGGCGGUGUUCUAAGUUUGUCGUGAAAUCUCCCGGCUUAACUGGGAGGGUGCGGCGAAAACUGGAAUGCUAGAGGAUGGGAGAGGUAAGCGGAAUUCCUGGUGUAGCGGUGAAAUGCGUAGAUAUCUGGAGGAAUACCGGUGGCGAAGGCGGCAUCCUGGACCGGCAUUGACGCUGAUGAGCGAAAGCUAGGGGAGCAAACGGG